RNAcentral lists this ribosomal RNA (539 nucleotides) under uncultured Methylotenera sp. RNAcentral describes it as "bacterial SSU rRNA". It matches the Rfam family "Bacterial small subunit ribosomal RNA", at positions 96 to 631 of the family's 1533-position model. The record is from RNAcentral. Lineage: Bacteria; Pseudomonadati; Pseudomonadota; Betaproteobacteria; Nitrosomonadales; Methylophilaceae.
UGGCGAACGGGUGAGUAACAUAUCGGAACGUAUCCAAUAAUGGGGGAUAACUAAUCGAAAGGUUGGCUAAUACCGCAUACGCCCUACGGGGGAAAGCAGGGGAUCUUCGGACCUUGCGUUAAUGGAGCGGCCGAUAUCUGAUUAGCUAGUUGGUGGGGUAAAGGCUCACCAAGGCGACGAUCAGUAGCUGGUCUGAGAGGACGACCAGCCACACUGGAACUGAGACACGGUCCAGACUCCUACGGGAGGCAGCAGUGGGGAAUUUUGGACAAUGGGCGCAAGCCUGAUCCAGCCAUUCCGCGUGAGUGAAGAAGGCCUUCGGGUUGUAAAGCUCUUUCGCAAGGGAAGAAACGUUACUGGUGAAUAACCAGUGAUAAUGACGGUACCUUGAUAAGAAGCACCGGCUAACUACGUGCCAGCAGCCGCGGUAAUACGUAGGGUGCGAGCGUUAAUCGGAAUUACUGGGCGUAAAGCGUGCGCAGGCGGUUUUGUAAGUCAGAUGUGAAAUCCCCGAGCUCAACUUGGGAACUGCGUUUGAA